UAGGGAAUCUUCGGCAAUGGACGAAAGUCUGACCGAGCAACGCCGCGUGAGUGAAGAAGGUUUUCGGAUCGUAAAACUCUGUUGUUAGAGAAGAACAAGGACGUUAGUAACUGAACGUCCCCUGACAGUAUCUAACCAGAAAGCCACGGCUAACUACGUGCCAGCAGCCGCGGUAAUACGUAGGUGGCAAGCGUUGUCCGGAUUUUUUGGGCGUAAAGCGAGCGCAGGCGGUUUCUUAAGUCUGAUGUGAAAGCCCCCGGCUCAACCGGGGAGGGUCAUUGGAAACUGGGAGACUUGAGUGCAGAAGAGGAGAGUGGAAUUCCAUGUGUAGCGGUGAAAUGCGUAGAUAUAUGGAGGAACACCAGUGGCGAAGGCGGCCCCCUGGACAAAGACUGACGCUCAGGUGCGAAAGCGUGGGGAGCAAACAGG
Molecule: ribosomal RNA, 429 nt
Filed under: Chloroflexota bacterium
Lineage: Bacteria; Bacillati; Chloroflexota
Description: Chloroflexi bacterium partial 16S ribosomal RNA
Rfam family: Bacterial small subunit ribosomal RNA
Source: RNAcentral